Molecule: ribosomal RNA, 1373 nt
Filed under: Chryseobacterium sp.
Lineage: Bacteria; Pseudomonadati; Bacteroidota; Flavobacteriia; Flavobacteriales; Weeksellaceae
Description: bacterial SSU rRNA
Rfam family: Bacterial small subunit ribosomal RNA
Source: RNAcentral
AGCCGAGCGGUAGAGAUCUUUCGGGAUCUUGAGAGCGGCGUACGGGUGCGGAACACGUGUGCAACCUGCCUUUAUCUGGGGGAUAGCCUUUCGAAAGGAAGAUUAAUACCCCAUAAUAUAUUGAAUGGCAUCAUUUGAUAUUGAAAACUCCGGUGGAUAGAGAUGGGCACGCGCAAGAUUAGAUAGUUGGUGAGGUAACGGCUCACCAAGUCAGCGAUCUUUAGGGGGCCUGAGAGGGUGAUCCCCCACACUGGUACUGAGACACGGACCAGACUCCUACGGGAGGCAGCAGUGAGGAAUAUUGGACAAUGGGUGAGAGCCUGAUCCAGCCAUCCCGCGUGAAGGACGACGGCCCUAUGGGUUGUAAACUUCUUUUGUAUAGGGAUAAACCUACCCUCGUGAGGGUAGCUGAAGGUACUAUACGAAUAAGCACCGGCUAACUCCGUGCCAGCAGCCGCGGUAAUACGGAGGGUGCAAGCGUUAUCCGGAUUUAUUGGGUUUAAAGGGUCCGUAGGCUGAUUUGUAAGUCAGUGGUGAAAUCUCACAGCUUAACUGUGAAACUGCCAUUGAUACUGCAAGUCUUGAGUGUUGUUGAAGUAGCUGGAAUAAGUAGUGUAGCGGUGAAAUGCAUAGAUAUUACUUAGAACACCAAUUGCGAAGGCAGGUUACUAAGCAACAACUGACGCUGAUGGACGAAAGCGUGGGGAGCGAACAGGAUUAGAUACCCUGGUAGUCCACGCCGUAAACGAUGCUAACUCGUUUUUGGGCUUUUGGGUUCAGAGACUAAGCGAAAGUGAUAAGUUAGCCACCUGGGGAGUACGAACGCAAGUUUGAAACUCAAAGGAAUUGACGGGGGCCCGCACAAGCGGUGGAUUAUGUGGUUUAAUUCGAUGAUACGCGAGGAACCUUACCAAGGCUUAAAUGGGAAAUGACAGGCUUAGAAAUAGGCUUUUCUUCGGACAUUUUUCAAGGUGCUGCAUGGUUGUCGUCAGCUCGUGCCGUGAGGUGUUAGGUUAAGUCCUGCAACGAGCGCAACCCCUGUCACUAGUUGCCAUCAUUAAGUUGGGGACUCUAGUGAGACUGCCUACGCAAGUAGAGAGGAAGGUGGGGAUGACGUCAAAUCAUCACGGCCCUUACGCCUUGGGCCACACACGUAAUACAAUGGCCGGUACAGAGGGCAGCUACACUGCGAAGUGAUGCAAAUCUCGAAAGCCGGUCUCAGUUCGGAUUGGAGUCUGCAACUCGACUCUAUGAAGCUGGAAUCGCUAGUAAUCGCGCAUCAGCCAUGGCGCGGUGAAUACGUUCCCGGGCCUUGUACACACCGCCCGUCAAGCCAUGGAAGUCUGGGGUACCUGAAGUCGGUGACCGUAACA